Long non-coding RNA from Perca flavescens (yellow perch), 876 nucleotides. RefSeq lists it as uncharacterized. The record is from RefSeq and is a predicted model, not a curated record. The transcript is spliced from 3 exons. NCBI's taxonomy places the organism in Eukaryota, Metazoa, Chordata, Actinopteri, Perciformes, Percidae.
UUAAACCCAUAGAUUAAACCUCAAACCGCAGGUGUCUGCUUUGUUACCGGAUGUAGCUAAACAAGAUGCUUUCCCUCAACUUCUAGCCAUCUUAUUUCCACGUUGUAUCUUGUAUCUAUAACAUAUGUAGAAAUAGAAAACAAAGUGCAAAGUGGUUUAAAGAACAGGCACAUUGUGAGUUAAUUUUUUAUUUUAUUUUUACUGACCCAACUGCUGGACGUGACUUCGUGCAGCAUCUCUGUAAAUUACGGCUAACGGCCUCCAGGUCCCAAUGCUUGACAUAACAUCAGCACAUGGCAGAGAAGGAUGAAACAAUGCCUGCCUAGCUUGGACUUGAAGGACUCCCUCCAGGACCAAGCAGGAAACCACAGGAAUGAUGUCCUGAGCGUCUUCUUGAGGACGACCAAGUCAAGGUAGACGAUGUGAUCCAACACCGCAGAGGCACAGAGCAGUCCACCAUGCAGAGCGCCUGCUAUCCCACAGCUGAACACGUCUUGACCUGGAACAAAAACACAAAUGCAACCUGCUGGAUGAGACAAGACUACCUGGAGUCUGGAUUCAAAUUAUUGUUCCCCCUCUAGAUAAUGUUUACUUUACAAGCUUUAAUUCCUUCUGCAAACUUCGGUAAACUAAUCCAGCAAAAACUGACUAGUUUGGUAUGAAAAAAUUACACUGCAAAGAAACUCUCAAAUUUCAAAGCAUUGUCAACGCUCCCCCCUCCGAGGUAAAUCAGUCUUAGGGGUUGUUGAGACAUUUCUAUGCCCGUGAAGACUUCACUCAAUCACAAAACACAAAGAAUUGACUGUGGUUGCAGAACCUUUUAACCUAAAAGGCUUUAUACCUGAGAUGUAGAGGUUUUUGACAGGGGUGCUGCAC